RNAcentral lists this ribosomal RNA (508 nucleotides) under uncultured bacterium. Its description in RNAcentral is "partial 16S ribosomal RNA". It matches the Rfam family "Bacterial small subunit ribosomal RNA", at positions 28 to 523 of the family's 1533-position model. The record is from RNAcentral.
GAUGGACGCUAGUUACAGGCUUAACACAUGCAAGUCGAGGGGAAACGGCAUCGAAAGCUUGCUUUUGAUGGGCGUCGACCGGCGCACGGGUGAGUAACGCGUAUCCAACCUGCCCACCACUUGGGGAUAACCUUGCGAAAGUAAGACUAAUACCCAAUGAUAUCUCUAGAAGACAUCUGAAAGAGAUUAAAGAUUUAUCGGUGAUGGAUGGGGAUGCGUCUGAUUAGCUCGUUGGCGGGGUAACGGCCCACCAAGUCUACGAUCAGUAGGGGUUCUGAGAGGAAGGUCCCCCACAGUGGAACUGAGACACGGACCAAACUGCUACGGGAGGCAGCAGUGAGGAAUAUUGGUCAAUGGACGAUAGUCUGAACCAGCCAAGUAGCGUGCAGGAUGACGGCCCUAUGGGUUGUAAACUGCUUUUAUAAGGGAAUAAAGUGAGUCUCGUGAGACUUUUUGCAUGUACCUUAUGAAUAAGGACCGGCUAAUUCCGUGCCAGCCGCCGCAGUAA